AUGAGAACACUCACGACGCAUUAUCUAGCUGGAGCUGAGAAUGCUACGUACCUUGACCUUGUCGAGAAAGAACUCGGGCGCAAUGAUCUUCCUCUGGUGGGCCCAAGCCUCGCCGUUGGACUUGAGGAUGCCUCUGCCAAACAGUGGCUCGUGCGUGGCCUUUAGGUAGGAGCUCUUGCCGAGGUCCAGCGAGACGCAGAGGUUGAUGUCCCGGACCACGUCUGGCCGGCUCACGUGAAGGAACACCACGUUCCCCAUGGAGUAAGUGAACACUGGACCUGCACUUGA
This 288-nucleotide ribosomal RNA is filed under the name Triticum aestivum (bread wheat). RNAcentral's name for it is "partial small subunit ribosomal RNA". The record is from RNAcentral. Lineage: Eukaryota; Viridiplantae; Streptophyta; Magnoliopsida; Poales; Poaceae.